AAAUUGAAGAGUUUGAUCAUGGCUCAGAUUGAACGCUGGCGGCAGGCCUAACACAUGCAAGUCGAACGGUAACAGGAAGCAGCUUGCUGCUUUGC
Molecule: ribosomal RNA, 95 nt
Filed under: Escherichia coli
Lineage: Bacteria; Pseudomonadati; Pseudomonadota; Gammaproteobacteria; Enterobacterales; Enterobacteriaceae
Also listed under: 15 other names
Description: partial 16S ribosomal RNA
Rfam family: Bacterial small subunit ribosomal RNA
Source: RNAcentral